AUGGUUGUCUACAAUGAUUUAGGG
RNAcentral lists this non-coding RNA (24 nucleotides) under Arabidopsis thaliana (thale cress). Lineage: Eukaryota; Viridiplantae; Streptophyta; Magnoliopsida; Brassicales; Brassicaceae. The record is from RNAcentral.